GACGAACGCUGGCGGCGUGCUUAACACAUGCAAGUCGAACGGAAAGGCCUGCUUUCCCUUGUGGAUUGCGGGUACUCGAGUGGCGAACGGGUGAGUAACACGUGAGUGAUCUGCCCCCAACUUGGGUAUAAGCCUGGGAAACUGGGUCUAAUUCCCGAUAGGACUGCAGGGUGGUGCCUGUGGUGGAAAACGAUUUUCUAGUGGUUGGGGAUGAGCUCGCGGCCUAUCAGCUUGUUGGUGGGGUAAUGGCCUACCAAGGCGGCGACGGGUAGCCGGCCUGAGAGGGUGGACGGCCACAUUGGGACUGAGAUACGGCCCAGACUCCUACGGGAGGCAGCAGUGGGGAAUAUUGCACAAUGGGCGGAAGCCUGAUGCAGCGACGCCGCGUGGGGGAUGACGGCCUUCGGGUUGUAAACUCCUUUCGACCGCGAGGAAGCCACCUGGUUGGAAGGGUGGUGACGGUAGUGGUAGAAGAAGCACCGGCUAACUACGUGC
Molecule: ribosomal RNA, 495 nt
Filed under: uncultured bacterium
Lineage: Bacteria
Description: partial 16S ribosomal RNA
Rfam family: Bacterial small subunit ribosomal RNA
Source: RNAcentral